UACGGAGGGUGCAAGCGUUAUCCGGAUUUACUGGGUUUAAAGGGUGCGUAGGCGGGCAGGUAAGUCAGUGGUGAAAUCCUUGAGCUUAACUCGAGAACUGCCAUUGAUACUAUCUGACUUGAAUAUUGUGGAGGUGAGCGGAAUAUGUCAUGUAGCGGUGAAAUGCUUAGAUAUGACAUAGAACACCCAUUGCGAAGGCAGCUCACUACGCAUAUAUUGACGCUGAUGCACGAAAGCGUGGGGAUCAAACAGG
This 253-nucleotide ribosomal RNA is filed under the name uncultured bacterium. RNAcentral describes it as "partial 16S ribosomal RNA". It matches the Rfam family "Bacterial small subunit ribosomal RNA", at positions 524 to 776 of the family's 1533-position model. The record is from RNAcentral.